CUAGAUUCAUCAGUGGUGUUAGAUGGGUGAGGAGGGACAGGUUUUCCUUUUGUUACUUGUUUGUUUUUUCCUGUCACGAACUGGAUGAAGAAUCAGCCUACUGAGGGUCUCCACGGAGGUUAAGCAGCAGCCAGUAUUGAGCUAGUAUCCGCUAUCCUUUGGAUCUCCGAUGUCCUUAGAGGCCCAUUGGUAUUUGUCACAGUGAUGAAAAGCUAACACAGAUCCCUCCCCCACUCUUUAAAGAGAAGCACACAAAAUGUUACCUUUGAUUUUGAACUUGGAGAAAAUGUCAGAUAAAUAGGUACAUUGAAAAUAGUCAAGCAGAAGAGUAGUCACUAUUUUACUUGAAUGUGAAGAAUCAUUCAGCUAAUGAACUGCGGUUUACCAAAAGCAAUUUUUCUAAGUAUAAUUUGCUGGAAGCACAGUUCUAAGACAUGGACAUACACCACUUGAAUGCUAUUUGAUUCUUGCUGGCUGUUUAAAGGUCAUAUCAAGUAAUACAAGCAGGAACAAAAAUUCCAGUUCUGACAUUUGAUGUGAGUUUGAAGAAAGUGACUUCUUUGGGGGCUUCAUAAAGAGGUUUAGUGAUCGCUACAAAACCAGGAAUCCAAAUUCUACAGAAGCUGGUCACCCCAAGAAACUCCCUCAGCUGUCUCUUAUCUUGUUCAUCUUCCCUCUUAGCCUGUUCCUUCUCUCUUGCUGACUCUCUAUUCACAUACACUUUCCUAGCCAAUUGUAGCAACUGUGUUAUAUUCAUACCCUCCCAAGUUUCUUGCUUUUGAAUUUGCCUUCUAAUAUCCUGAGCUGACUGGGUCACAAAGUCAUAUUGAUUAACUGGUGGUUAUCAGGAACAGCAGGAUCAAAUGGUGUAUACAUUCUGUAAACUUUACAGAACUACUCAUAAAAUCUCUCAGGGCUCCCAUUGGGCUCCUACGAUGUUUCUAGCACUUUAAUCAUAUUUGUAGGCCUUUUACUCAUGGCUCGUAUCCCUGCCAGGAGGGCCAUCUGAUAAUUGCUUAAGCUGUCCUGGCCUCCUGGGGUGUUGGGGUUCCAAUCGGGCUGUUCAUUCACUGGAAAUUGCUGUUCAUGUCAAGCAUCUGGAUUUUGUGUGCCUGCUGGCAUUCUAGGAGCAUUGAUCUUUUUAAUUUCUCCUAAAACUGUAUUUCUUUAGAAGUUAACAAAGUUCUUUACAGUCCUCCCAAUUAGGACAAUGGGUAGCAAAGAUGGAAUCAAAUAAUUGAAGCAUUUUGGAGGGGUCUUGGCAGAGAAUAAAUGACCUUCUUUUUCUCUAGA
This 1293-nucleotide long non-coding RNA is filed under the name Heterocephalus glaber (naked mole-rat). RNAcentral describes it as "lncRNA (ENSHGLG00000025328.2)". Lineage: Eukaryota; Metazoa; Chordata; Mammalia; Rodentia; Bathyergidae. The record is from RNAcentral.